UGGGCCUUGAGAGCUGCCCUUUGGUUCCCAGAGAGCUGCAGCCGGUCUGAAGUCAGGGUUGCUAAGGAAACGCUGUCUGCUUGUGGAUGGCAGAGCAAACAGACACCUAAGCCUCGGGUAAAUCAUUAAUUCAUUGAUAUUCUCACUGAUGGCAUCUGGAGAGACAGACGUAUUCCUUCUUUCUUCCAAGUCCUCAAAAGUGCUCUUUCAUCGCCAGGUAAACACUUGGACGACCACUUUGUGGAUAAUCAUUCCCUCCUGGGCUCACACUCCAGAGACCAUGAAGGGCUCCCUCCCGGAUUUUAAUGGAUCAAAGAAAAUGCUCUGAAGUGUGUCCGUGAUCACUGCAAGUGGCCCCCUCCUCUGAUGACAAGCCUGGAGUAGCACUGAGGACCGAGAGCUUUCUAGUGAUGGAAACACCCGGAGCUGUGUGACCUCUAACACCUGCUCAACCUCUCUGUGCCUGGUUUCCUCCUCCACGCAUUCACAGAACCUACCUUGAAGGGCUGCUGAGAGCACCACCUUGGUUUUGGGUGCACCGCUGGUAUUAAUAGCGACGGAAGCAGAGAGUGGUGGAGAGACUACAGUGUGGCGGCAACUCAUUCACCUUCUGUCCACUCCAGAUCUGGCACCUUCCAAGCCCCACAGAACCCUAGACAAGGCCUCUGGUCUCGUCUGGUCCACCUCUUCAUGUAGGCCCAGCAGGACAAAUCAUUUCCACCGGACCCCUCUCCUCCAGGGGAGCUUGCUCAGAGAUGUGGGACGCAGUGCAGUGCCAACCAGGGGGGAACAUAGUGAGUGUUUGUUGAUUGACUAAUUUCAGCCCUUCAGGAAGGCGCUCCUAUGAAGGGAGGUGGGUGAAACCAUGGCUGUGUGGCAGUGAAGCCAGAGGGAUGUGACAGCAGAAGCCACUGGACAGUCAGCUCUGACACAGGAGAAGGGGCAGGGAGCUUCCUGAAAGAGGGGGCUUUUGAGGUGGGUUUAAAGAAUGGAAGGAGGCCCAAGAAGCCCGGGGCAAACCCUUUGAGGUGUGGGGCUCUGAGGGUCAGGUCAGGGCUGCAGGACAGCGGCAGGAAAGAGCUGGAGGCUCCCUACCCUGCAGCUGGCCCUUGCGGGUCUGGCAGGCAGGUGGGCGAGGAGAAACCUCGAGAUCUGAUCCUGCGUCUCCGAGGAAAUCCCCAGAAGGGGGACCGUGGGUGGCCUGUGCGGCUAGCUGGGCACUUUGCAUUUGUAGCAGCCACACAGCUCUGAGGAGACGAGAACAUGGGGCCUACUUACUUGUGUGCACUCUCCGGGACUGAAAUAGGUGGGGGGGAAGCCACCAGAGGGCCGCCCACCCGCCCUUAGAGAGGCAGAGACAGCCCCCGGCAGCAUUCUGGGUUUCAGAGAGUCAGGCAGGACCCGGAACUGACAUCCUCUGGUGGCCUUCACCCCUCUCAGUCCUGCGCCUCCCUCAGCCACAUGCAGUGAACAGGCUGGAGCAGCACCAGGUGCCAGGGCCACCAGGAGGCACAAGGGACAAUGGCCCGGGGAUUCUGAUUCCUGUGGGAUGCUGUCCCCUAGAACAGGGUCAGCCAUGUGGCCUGUCCAUCCCUGGGCAAGGCAAAGGCCUGGAAGGCACAACUGGGCCACCCCCACUGCUUGCUCUGAGAGACGGCAAUGGCCAAGUGCAGAUCCUCAGGCCCGUCCCCCAGGGCUCCAACCGGAAGGGCCAGGGUGGGGCUCAGAGCUUCCGCCAACACUGCUGGGGCGGAGUUCUGGAGCAGGUGGUCUGCAGAUGCAGGGCCUUGGUCCAGGGUCAGUGCUGGAAGACAAGGCUGGGUGGGGCUGGGCCACCAUAUUUAGGGGUGGAGGUCACUUGACUGGGACAACGCAGGAACACAGGAGUUUGUGGUAUGGGCCUUGUGGCUGCCCCUCUCUGCUCUGCAAAGUCCAUCAUUGGGAAGAAUAGAGUCCCCCAUUCGCUGGGUGACUCCUAGGCCCUUCAGUGAACCCAGACCUGGCGCCUUCUCAAGCUAUAGACAUUUCAGAACUGUCACCCCUUCCUCCCAUCCCAGAAGGCCUUGAGGACCCAUGUGUGCGGAGGUGCCGUGACCCCCUCCCCUUGAGAUGCUUGUUGCUUUGGCUUAUGGUUUUAUUUAAGAUAGUCCAGUGUCCUCUUCAUAAAAGGAACAGAUUCCAAGCAGGGUUAUGAUUUUGAGCAGCAAACCCCCCUGCAUGGGAGACCUGUGUUUUCUCAGGCUCAUCCGCGUGCCCAUGGGGGUCUGAGAAAGUCCCUGGGUGUGUGCGUGACUCAGAGGCAGGUGGUCAGCGGAGGAAAUGACACCAGGCCUCUGCACGGGGUCUCCGCAUUCCAGUCCGUGUUCCCACGGUGCCCUGCGUCGUCAACAGCUCCCAAACAGGCCCUCUCCACGGGGAACCCGCCCUCCAGGACAGGCACGGGCUCGUUGCACGUCAGGAGGCUGAGCUCUAACUGACAAAUUGGAGAGGUUCCCCAAGGCAAGGGUUACUGAGCUCUGUCAUUCUCACUAAAAAUGUGAUUUAUAAUAUAUUCCUAUUUGCCAGACACUCCUUUCCCCAGGAAUGAACACUUAACACAGAAAUGGGAGGCUAUCCCAAGGCCUGAGCCCACAGGCGAACACACCCCUCCAAGUGUUCACUGCAAAUGAGCAGACGUGCCCAGGCCCCUGGGCAGCAUGGCUACGCACGCUUCAUUUCGAUAAGUCUUCGUAUCUUAAGCAAACACUUAAAAUUCAGGACAGGGCGAGGGUGGCCCAUGAUUGAUUUUUAGAAUUUCACAUUCUAAAGGAAAGAUCUAAGGGUCUGAUGAAGGAGGUCAUAUUGGAUCUCGGGGUGUAGCUCAGUGGGGCCUCCGGCUUAGCGUGCACAAGGCCCCGGGUUCCAUUCUCAGCAAAAAAAAAAAAAAAAAAGAAAAUGUAUUUCCUAACAUUCCUUAGAGUUUAUAAAAGGAAAACAGUUUUUCUUGCUCCUUCAAUCAUCUGAUAUUUCUGAAUGCGGCAUGGGUCAGAUAUUGAAGAGCAAGCUGCGCCUUCGGACGGGCUUCCUGAGACCCUUUGUAAAAAAAACACACAAAAGCAGCUAAAGCCGUCUGACUUCUCUUAGGAGUCUGGGUUAAAGUUGCAAACUCAUUUUGCCGGAGAUAACCAGAAAUCCUCUAAGCGGUCUAAGUGGGCAGGACCGGAUUUGAUCUCUGCAUCUGAUUGCCUAGCAGAAGUCAAGCAGCCAAUGUCUCAACAAUGUCUCCAUAUCAUGAAACUUCCUAAAAAUCUUCAAGGGAGUAACCUGAGCUCCUGAAAAAUGAUCUCGAAUGUCAACAGGACAAAGCUUCCCAGGCCUCCCUAUUUGACUCGACAGGAAUCUUGUUUCUCUGUGUGCUCUGGAGGGCUUCUGUCUUUGUUAAGAGGAAUGAUUAAAAGAAUUUACAUAUAGUAAUCAUUUAAAAUUGACUUCACUCAAUAGGAGCUAUUCAUUUUACUGUUGUGUGUGUGUGUGUGUGUGUGUGUGUAGAUACCUGUUUUUCUAGGCAAUACACAGCUUUUAUUUCAUUGUGUGCAUAAACCCUGACCCAGGACACUCCGGCCACGGAGCGCGGGACUGACAUCCAGCGUCCACAGCCUGAUGUGCAGGUGGUCAGAUGCGGUCUGGAGUUCUGUGCCGCUUGGCCAGAGAAACACGGAUAAAUGCGGUGUCGCCUAACAGGGGCUCUGGAGACGUCCCUGAACACUGGCGGAGCAGCAAGACGAGACUCUUUGUUGUGUGCGCCGUACGUCCCCAGCUUCCUCUCACCACUAGGUGGCGGUGGCCGCCUCCCUCCUCCAGGUGUGCUGCGGAAAGGUCCCCAGACCUGCCUGGCUGCCCCGCGGGGCAGGGCGUCGGCUAGAACCGAGGCAGGCGCUCAGCUGACCCGACGGGGCUUUCCGGGACGGCGAGGGCGGUUCGCAGGCCCCACUUGAAAAGCCACGGUCAUUCGAAGGCGGAACUAGCACAGACGGGGCAACACUGUGACACCGGGUGUGACCUGCGGCGCGGCCCCUCCUGGAAGGACUGUGGCGCGCGGCCCACGUGCAGACGGGCGCCUUCCUCCCACAUCCCACAGGUGGUCCUCCGAGUUCUCUGAGCGUGUGCCCCUGCAAAGUAGGAUGUCGCGGACCUGCUGCGAGGGUCGGGGGCGGCCAGGACCGAAGCACAGGCCACUGCCGCACCCUCUCCCGCUGCUGGAUUGACACCAGGGUCUCCCCGCGGAUGCCUGGACCAGGCCAGGACCCAGCGUCCUUGCACAGUGCUCCCCCGAGGACCCUGGGGCGAACUUGGGGAGCUGAGCCCCUGCCCAGGCUCCCCGGCACUUAGUCCUGGGCGGUAAGACCCCCAGCCUGCCCACCUGAACCUGCCCCCAGCCCGCCCCCAUUCAGCUUGCCCCCUGAGCCUGACCCUUAAGGCUGUCCUCCGACCCACCUGUCCCCUAAACCUGCCCCCACCAAGCCUGCUCCCCCCCACCAAGCCUGCCCCCUUGCCUGCGGGGCCUCCCCACCCGCGCCGCGCGCCCACCCCGGGCCUGCCGGCCUGAGCCGCUUCGUCUGCGGAAGCGCUUCCCGGGGCGGCCGCCAGGUGGCACCCUGUGGCCUCGGGUGGCGGCUUGCUGGACCCCAACAGCCAGCGGUAGCUUUUUCAGACAGACAUUGUCUCCGGCUUCCUCCCCCUUUGUCACAGUGUACUGCCAAGGUGUUCACGGCACAGUGCUGUGGCUCCCGCAUUGGGAACACCUAGGACUCGUGGAAAUGAUCAACCAUGAGCGCCCAGAGGGAGCAGGACCGGCCGCAGGGGUCUCCCGGCCCCCUGUGUCUGGCCCAUGGUGCCAUCUCUCCCUGCCCACCAUAAGGACAUGCUGGGCACACCUGCCUGGGUUUGUCUCACCUUCUAGAUGGUGAGGGAUGAUUAUUUCCCACGUGUUUGUUCCCUACACUGACGUCUUUGAAGGGGAUUUUAUUUUUUAAAAUUAUAGGUAACUGACAAAGAAACAUUCAAAACCAAUAAUAGCUCUAAACACAAAAGUCAGAAAGCAAGCCCAGCCCCGGCACAUGCCUGUGAGCCCAGCGACUCCGAGGCUGAGGCAGGAGGAUCACAAAUUCACAAGUUCAGCCUGGGCAACUUAGCAAGACCCUGUCUCAAAAUUUAAAACACCAGAAAAGAGCUGAGGAUGUGGCUCAGUGGUCGAGCAGCUCUGGGUUCAAUCCCGAGUACUGCUAAUACCAACAUUAGAAAGCAAGGAGGCAAGUGUCAAGACUGGCCCUGUCAACUUGCAUUGUGAUGGAAGCUUUGGUGGCCACAGAAAGUGGGUGGAAAGCCUCCCAGAUGCAAAGCAAGGGGUGUGUCCUGACUUAGAGGUGGACACAAUAGACACCUGUGUGAGCAGAGCCCUCUGGCUGCAGAGGUCAACCAGGGAUUCCUGCAGCCCGGUACAUCAUAAGAGCUGCUCUAAGCCCCUGGUCUUGCUUCCUGACGCCUCAGGUCAUGUGCAAACACCUCCUCUCCCAGGACCCUAAGUAAAAAUUUUAAAAAAGAAAGAAAAAGGCCAAACCAUCAAUUACUUCACAUUUUUGUUCUGUGUUGGUAGGGUUGUGUGUGGCAUUGAAAACAAAACAAAAACAGGGCUGGGGAUGUGGCUCAAGCGGUAGCGCGCUCGCCUGGCAUGCGUGCGGCCCGGGUUCGAUCCUCAGCACCACAUACAAACAAAGAUGUUGUGUCCGCCAAGAACUAAAAAAUAAAUAUUAAAAAUUCUCUCUCUC
Marmota monax (woodchuck) is the source of this 5804-nucleotide long non-coding RNA. RefSeq lists it as uncharacterized. The record is from RefSeq and is a predicted model, not a curated record. Lineage: Eukaryota; Metazoa; Chordata; Mammalia; Rodentia; Sciuridae. The transcript has 2 exons.